RNAcentral lists this ribosomal RNA (319 nucleotides) under uncultured Pseudomonadota bacterium. RNAcentral describes it as "bacterial SSU rRNA". It matches the Rfam family "Bacterial small subunit ribosomal RNA", at positions 29 to 351 of the family's 1533-position model. Lineage: Bacteria; Pseudomonadati; Pseudomonadota. The record is from RNAcentral.
AUUGAACGCUGGCGGCAUGCUUUACACAUGCAAGUCGAACGCGGUUCGGGGGCAACCCCGGACUGAGUGGCGAACGGGUGAGUAAUGCAUCGGAACGUACCCCGUCGUGGGGGAUAACCAGUCGAAAGACUGGCUAAUACCGCAUACGACCUGAGGGUGAAAGCGGGGGACCGGAAGGCCUCGCGCGAUGGGAGCGGCCGAUGCCGGAUUAGCUAGUAGGUAGGGUAAAGGCCUACCUAGGCGACGAUCCGUAGCUGGUCUGAGAGGAUGAUCAGCCACACUGGGACUGAGACACGGCCCAGACUCCUACGGGAGGCAG